UUGAAGCCUCGUGCUUCAGCUAGUAUCUCAAUCGUAACUGACGAGCUACAGUCUGUAGACGCGGAUCUAUACUAGAGUAGUGCGAAUGGUAUAGAUCUGUAUGCAUUCCGUGGGUACGCGGCCCUCUGACAAGGCUGAAGUCAUGCACGAGAGGCGUGCGUAGCCCACAGGAUUUGAUACCGUGUAGUCACGCUGUAAACGAUGUCUAGUAGUAGAUUGGUGUCUUGAACACUGGGCUCUGAAGCUUACGCAUUAAGUUGACCGCCUGAGGAGAACGGUCGCAAGGUUAAAACUCAAAAGAAUUGGCGGGGGCCCGCACAACAGGUGGAGCACGUGGUUCUAUUCGAUGCAACGCGAAGAACCUUACCUACUCUUGACAUCCACGGAAGACUGCAGAAAGGCGGUUGUGCCUUCGGGAACCGUGAGACAGGCCCUGCAUGGCUGUCGUCAGCUCGUGUUGUGACAUGAUGGGUUAAGUCCCGAAACGAGCGCAACCCCUAUCGGUAUUUCCCAGCACGUAAUGGUGGGAACUCUAGCGAGACUGCCGAUUAUAAACCGGAGGAAGGUGGGGACGACGUCAAGUCAUCAUGGCCCUUACGAGUAGGUCGUCGCACGUGCUACAAUGGCGAGUACAGAGGGUUGCAAAGCCGCGAGGUGGAGCCAAUCUCACAAAGCUCGUAGUAGUCCGGAUUGGAGUCUGCAACUGGACUCCAUGAAGUCGGAAUCGCUAGUAAUCGUCAUCAGAAUGCCACGGUGAAUACGUUCCCGGGCCUUGUACACACCGCCCGUCACACCAUGGGAGUGGGCCGCAAAAGAAGUGGGUAGCUUAACCUUCGGGGGGGCGCUCACCACUUUGUGGUUCAUGACAGGGGCGAAGUCGUACAAGGAACCA
This 892-nucleotide ribosomal RNA is filed under the name uncultured soil bacterium. Its description in RNAcentral is "SSU rRNA". It matches the Rfam family "Bacterial small subunit ribosomal RNA", at positions 592 to 1501 of the family's 1533-position model. The record is from RNAcentral.